UGAGGGAAUAUUUGGGGUCAAUGGUCGCGAGACUGAACCAGCCAAGUAGCGUGCAGGAUGACGGCCCUCUGGGUUGUAAACUGCUUUUAGUUGGGAAUAAAAGGCGGUACGUGUACCGCGUAUUGUAUGUACCAUCAGAAAAAGGACCGGCUAAUUCCGUGCCAGCAGCCGCGGUAAUACGGAAGGUCCAGGCGUUAUCCGGAUUUAUUGGGUUUAAAGGGAGCGUAGGCGGAUUUUUAAGUCAGUUGUGAAAGUUUGAGGCUCAACCUUAAAAUUGCAGUUGAAACUGGAAGUCUUGAGUGCACG
RNAcentral lists this ribosomal RNA (306 nucleotides) under uncultured Prevotellaceae bacterium. RNAcentral describes it as "bacterial SSU rRNA". It matches the Rfam family "Bacterial small subunit ribosomal RNA", at positions 354 to 652 of the family's 1533-position model. Lineage: Bacteria; Pseudomonadati; Bacteroidota; Bacteroidia; Bacteroidales; Prevotellaceae. The record is from RNAcentral.